CCGCACUUCAUUGGGGAGUAGCCGCCCUGCCGGUCACGGCAGGGGCGCAUGUCAACAGACUUGGCUGCCGAAUUUCACCGGCGACCAUGGCAUGCGCAGCCACACAUGGGCCUGGCCAGACCAAUGACCGACUCCCUCGCGACGGGCCGGAGGGGGACGGUCAUUGGCAAACCAUAUCGGCCCGGCGGAGCGCUCGAUGUCCCCUUUUCUUAUCUCGACCGGUGUGGU
This 228-nucleotide small RNA is filed under the name Pandoraea thiooxydans. RNAcentral's name for it is "Manganese sequence". It matches the Rfam family "Manganese Mn2+ riboswitch aptamer (yybP-ykoY)". Rfam says of the family: This RNA was originally discovered in E. coli during a large scale screen and was named SraF. The family was later found to exist upstream of related families of protein genes in many bacteria, including the the yybP and ykoK genes in B. subtilis. The record is from RNAcentral. Lineage: Bacteria; Pseudomonadati; Pseudomonadota; Betaproteobacteria; Burkholderiales; Burkholderiaceae.